Molecule: ribosomal RNA, 1343 nt
Filed under: uncultured bacterium
Lineage: Bacteria
Description: 16S ribosomal RNA
Rfam family: Bacterial small subunit ribosomal RNA
Source: RNAcentral
GACGAACGCUGGCGGCGUGCUUAACACAUGCAAGUCGAACGGAAAGGCCCUGCUUUUGUGGGGUGCUCGAGUGGCGAACGGGUGAGUAACACGUGAGUAACCUGCCCUUGACUUUGGGAUAACUUCAGGAAACUGGGACUAAUACCGGAUAGGAGCUCCUGCUGCAUGGUGGGGGUUGGAAAGUUUCGGCGGUUGGGGAUGGACUCGCGGCUUAUCAGCUUGUUGGUGGGGUAGUGGCUUACCAAGGCUUUGACGGGUAGCCGGCCUGAGAGGGUGACCGGCCACAUUGGGACUGAGAUACGGCCCAGACUCCUACGGGAGGCAGCAGUGGGGAAUAUUGCACAAUGGGCGGAAGCCUGAUGCAGCAACGCCGCGUGCGGGAUGACGGCCUUCGGGUUGUAAACCGCUUUCGCCUGUGACGAAGCGUGAGUGACGGUAAUGGGUAAAGAAGCACCGGCUAACUACGUGCCAGCAGCCGCGGUGAUACGUAGGGUGCGAGCGUUGUCCGGAUUUAUUGGGCGUAAAGGGCUCGUAGGUGGUUGAUCGCGUCGGAAGUGUAAUCUUGGGGCUUAACCCUGAGCGUGCUUUCGAUACGGGUUGACUUGAGGAAGGUAGGGGAGAAUGGAAUUCCUGGUGGAGCGGUGGAAUGCGCAGAUAUCAGGAGGAACACCAGUGGCGAAGGCGGUUCUCUGGGCCUUUCCUGACGCUGAGGAGCGAAAGCGUGGGGAGCGAACAGGCUUAGAUACCCUGGUAGUCCACGCUGUAAACGGUGGGUACUAGGUGUGGGGUCCAUUCCACGGGUUCCGUGCCGUAGCUAACGCUUUAAGUACCCCGCCUGGGGAGUACGGCCGCAAGGCUAAAACUCAAAGGAAUUGACGGGGCCCCGCACAAGCGGCGGAGCAUGCGGAUUAAUUCGAUGCAACGCGUAGAACCUUACCUGGGUUUGACAUGGAUCGGGAGUGCUCAGAGAUGGGUGUGCCUCUUUUGGGGUCGGUUCACAGGUGGUGCAUGCCUGUCGUCAGCUCGUGUCGUGAGAUGUUGGGUUAAGUCCCGCAACGAGCGCAACCCUUGUUCACUGUUGCCAGCACGUUAUGGUGGGGACUCAGUGGAGACCGCCGGGGUCAACUCGGAGGAAGGUGGGGAUGACGUCAAGUCCUCAUGCCCCUUAUGUCCAGGGCUUCACGCAUGCUACAAUGGCUGGUACAGAGAGUGGCGAGCCUGUGAGGGUGAGCGAAUCUCGGAAAGCCGGUCUCAGUUCGGAUUGGGGUCUGCAACUCGACCUCAUGAAGUCGGAGUCGCUAGUAAUCGCAGAUCAGCAACGCUGCGGUGAAUACGUUCCCGGG